Molecule: ribosomal RNA, 527 nt
Filed under: Rhabditis environmental sample
Lineage: Eukaryota; Metazoa; Nematoda; Chromadorea; Rhabditida; Rhabditidae
Description: eukaryotic LSU rRNA
Rfam family: Eukaryotic large subunit ribosomal RNA
Source: RNAcentral
UUAGUAACGGCGAGUGAAAAGGGAUGAGCCUAGCGCUGAAUCUCUCGGUCUAAGGCCGCUGAGAACUGUAGCGUAUAGGUUUGACUGUCUGUUUGCUAUGUAUUCUCCAAGUUCCUUUGAUAGGGGCUAGUUCAGUCCCGAGAGGGUGCUAGACCUGUGCGAGAAUUGUAGUGAGCAGUUGGUUGUUCCUUGGAGUCGUGUUGCUUGAAAGUGCAGCAUAAAGUAGGUGAUAGACUUCAUCUAAGGCUAAAUAUAACCAUGAAUUCGAUAGCUAACAAGUACCGCGAGGGAAAGUUGCAAAGAACUUUGAAGAGAGAGUUCAAGAGAACGUGAAAUCGCUGGAGUAUGCGGAGAGAGUUGACGUAACCCGGUAGCUAAGUUGUUCUUCGGAGCGAUGGUGCUGCUUAUGGUUGCAUUGGUGGCGUUGGUUAGCAACGACAGCUGCGUAGUUUAGCCCACUUCGGUGGUGUCUAGCUUGUGGUCUUGUUGUUGUCGGCUAGCGUGUAAGCCCUGUUCACAGGGUGCCA